AUUGAACGCUGGCGGCAUGCCUAACACAUGCAAGUCGAGCGGAGUGGCUGACGGGUGAGUAAUGCAUCGGAAUCUGCCCGGUAGUGGGGGAUAACGUACGGAAAGGGGCGCUAAUACCGCAUACUAUUGGAACGGCCGAGGUCGGAUGUGCUAGUUGGUGGGGUAAGGGCUUACCAAGGGGACGAGCCGUAACCGGGCUGAGAGGAUGAUGAGCCACACGGGAACUGAGACACGGUCCAGACUCCUACGGGAGGCAGCAGUGGGGAAUAUUGGACAAGGGGGGAAAGCCUGAUCCAGCCAUGCCGCGGGUGUGAAGAAGGUCUUCGGAUUGUAAAGCACUUUUAGUUGGAAGGCGGUACCUACAGAAUAAGCACCGGCUAACUACGUGCCAGCAGCCGCGGUAAUAC
This 407-nucleotide ribosomal RNA is filed under the name uncultured bacterium. RNAcentral describes it as "partial 16S ribosomal RNA". It matches the Rfam family "Bacterial small subunit ribosomal RNA", at positions 29 to 526 of the family's 1533-position model. The record is from RNAcentral.